CAGUAGCCGCGGGAAUACGGAGAGAGCUAGCGUUGUUCGGAAUUACUGGGCGUAAAGCGCACGUAGGCGGCUUGGUAAGUUAGAGGUGAAAGCCCGGAGCUCAACUCCGGAAUUGCCUUUAAGACUGCCGAGCUAGCAGGUGAGAGAGGUAAGUGGAAUUCCGAGUGUAGAGGUGAAAUUCGUAGAUAUUCGGAAGAACACCAGUGGCGAAGGCGGCUUACUGGCUCAUACUGGACGCUGAGGUGCGAAAGCGUGGGGAGCAAACAGGAUUAGAUACCCGCGUAGUCCCUGUCUCUUAUAC
RNAcentral lists this ribosomal RNA (301 nucleotides) under uncultured bacterium. RNAcentral's name for it is "partial 16S ribosomal RNA". It matches the Rfam family "Bacterial small subunit ribosomal RNA", at positions 509 to 807 of the family's 1533-position model. The record is from RNAcentral.